AUCUAUUUUUAUUGGUUAAAACAGCGUCAGUCAUAAACGCGUCAAUAGCUUUAUUAUCAUUACCUCAGUUUUUAUGACGAUGUUUGUUUUGUUAAUUAAAGCAUUAAAGUAUAUUUACCAUUAAAUAGACCAAUUUAAAAAAAAAAAAUUGGUGUCUUGUAUGACGUAGUUUGAAGGCUUUUGCAUCCGGUUGGCAUUGCGCAUUCUAGCGUUUCCUACCGGUGUGUUGCCGUUUCUCAAUCGGAAGACUGCAACCUCCGGAGGUCGCCUAUGCAGACUGCAUACGUCUCCAAGCUGGUUUAUUUAAGAUAACUAAGCAUUGCAUAAAAAAAACUAAGCAUUGCGUUCCCAAUUCAUAAACAUUAUCCGCCCGGACCAAUAUGGCGGAGCCGAAGCAAUGAUCCAUCGGGCCGAAGCAAUGACCCAUCUAGUUCUUCACACUCCAGUCCAGUUGGUGGCGGUAAUGCACCAGAAGUUGUUUUGCCACCCGCCAUCAAACAUUACAAGAAGUAGAAGAAUGCGUGGUGUGGUGUGGUGUUUAAAAAGGCAAAGUUUACUUCGGCGCGGAAGGUGAUGAGCAGUGUGUGUGUGGUUUCAAAUGGACGCGUGGAUCCAGCUACACUGCGGUCAAACCAGCCGCGUUUUGAGAAAACACACCGUGCGUCUCAGUCAGUUUCCUAGCUCGUGAAUUAUAUCCUGUAAAUCGCUAACUCAGUUGGAUAUGAUUGUUGACGAUUUGGCUUGAUCUUGGAUUAUUUGGUUCUUCGAAGCUCAUCCUGAAGUGGAUGUCAUAGCAACAGUGCACUCUUUUGUAGCCCAGCUGACACCAAGCUGACUGAUCAUCCCACCACCGAUCCACCUGAUGCCCAUCCUCAUGCUGCCAAAUUGAUGACAGCCCAGUGAAAGCUGACCGCUUCCUUGAGCACUUGCAGCGAUGCUGAAUUAAACAGUAUUAUUGCAGCUGUAACGUGUCAGAUGAGAAUUGGCCCUCCUCCCAGCUAAGCCUGUUUUUUUCUGUCUCCAUGGAGUUUUUUAAAUGCUUUCGCCCUGCUGGCUUGUUUUCUGGGAGAGUGCUGACAUUAGCUCAACCUAGGACUGUCUUUAGUACAUUAAGGACAUAUGCUGGUCAUAUAAUUAGAAUAUCAUCAAAGAGUUGAUUUAUUUCACUAAUUUCAUUCAAAAAGUGAAACUUGUAUAUUAUAUUCAUUCGGUACACAUAGACUGAUAUAUUUCAAAUGUUUAUUUCUUUUAAUUUUGAUGAUUAUAACUGACAACUAAGGAAAAUCUCAAAUUCAGUAAAUUAGAAUAUUGUGAAAAGGUUCAAUAUUGAAGACACCUGGUGCCACACUCUAAUCAGCUAAUUAACUCAAAACACCUGCAAAUGCCUUUAAAUGGUCUCUCAGUCUAGUUACACAAUCAUGGGAAAGACUGCUGACUUGACCGUUGUCCAAAAGACGACCAUUGACACCUUGCACAAGGAGGGCAAGACACAAAAUGUAAUUGCAAAAGAGGUUGGCUGUUCACAGAGCUCUGUGUCCAAGCACAUUAAUAGAGAGACGAAGGGAAGGAAAAGAUGUGGUAGAAAAAAGUGUACAAGCAACAGGGAUAACCGCACCCUGGAGAGGAUUGUGAAACAAAACCCGUUCAAAAAUGUGGGGGAGAUUCACAAAGAGUGGGCUGCAGCUGGAGUCAGUGCUUCAAGAACAACUACGCACAGACGUAUGCAAGACCUGGGUUUCAGCUGUGUUUCAUGCAACUCUUGAACAACAGAUGGCAUCAGAAGCGUCUCACCUGGGCUAAAGACAAAAAGGACUGGACUACUGCUGAGUGCUAAGUUAUGUUGUCUGAUGGAAGUACAUUUUUAAUUUCCUUUGGAAAUCAGGAUCCUAGAGUCCGGAGGAAGAGAGGAGAGACACCCAAUCCACGUUGCUUGAGGUCCAGUGUAAAGUUUCCACAGUCAGUGAUGGUUUGGGGUGCCAUGUCAUCUGCUGGUGUUGGUCCACUGUGUUCAACAAAGCCGUAUACCAGAAAAUUUGAGUACUUCCUGCUGUUGACAAACUUUAUGGAGAUGCAGAUUUCAUUUUCCAACAUGAGCCAUACCCAACAAUGCAGAAGAGCUGAAGGCCACUAUUGGAGCAACCUGGCUCUCAUCUUCUUCUUCUUCUUCUUCCUUUUAAUGGCGGGUGGCACCAACUUUAAGGUGCAUUAUCGCCAGUUACUGUAUUGGAAUGUGGAUCAGAGUUUCCCCAUUUUGUUAACAUUAUAAAUAUGUUUUCACUCACUAAUGUUUCCUUAUCAGCCCUGUUGUCUUGAGGAAAAUAAAUAAACUUUCUAAUUCAUCAUUAACUGCUUAUGUCUGAUUUGUAUUGGCAUUUUAUCCACUUCAACCUGAAGAGCAGCUACAGGAGUCGUUUUAAAAGCACCACAACAGAGUCUCAAAGCCUGAGCUUAUGUCACACAACCAGCUUUUUCAAUAAUGUUUUUGCUGCUGAACCAUAAACAAAACAUCCAUAAUCUAUAACUGAUCUAAUCAGUCUUAUAUAAAUAUUUUUUCAUUGCAGUUCCACUUGCUCCCCAUUCCAAUCCUCUUAGAUAUCUCAUCACAUUUAAAAUAAUUUUACAUUUAGUUUCUAUCCUUUGAAUAUGUUCCUUCCAUGAUAAUUUAACAUCAGACCAAGCACCCCAAAACUUAAACUUUUUAACUUGUUCAAUAGUUUGUCCAUACAUCUUUAUCUGUGUAUCAAUACCUCUUUUACUAAACACUUAUGAUUUUGUUUUAUCAACUGAAAACCUGAAUCCCCAUGAAUAUGACAAUUUUUCUACUACUUCAACUUGUAUUUUCCUUGUGAUAUGCUUUAUAUUCUUUCCCCUUUUUCACAAUGCUCCAUCGUCAGCAAACAAUGAUCUCCCAAUGUCUCCUUGUGCUUGAGAAAAUACAUUAUUAUAAUUGUAAAGAGUAUUGGGCUAAUGAUGCUCCGCCAAAUAUUUUCCAGAUGAUGCUUUCUCGAUUCUAACUUGAAUAAAUCUAUUUAUAUAAAAAAAAAAUCUUGAAUAUAAUUAUACAUUCUACCUGUUAUUCCUAUCAUAUUUAGUUUAAUCAUUAAACCUUCUUUCCAAAUCAUUUCACUUGACUUAUUGAUAAAAUUCCCUUAUCCUCACCAGCCAGAACAAUUUUAAAUUUCAAACCUUGAUCACUCUCCUCCACCCCUCUUUCAAAACUUUGAUUACUACUGGAUUUCUUUGCACUAAUCCUUUCAAAAUUAUUUCAUCUUUUUUUCCUCACCGUUGCACUUCUUUGGCUUGUUUCCAUACUACCAUUCCUAUCCACUUUAUCAUAUGCUCUCCAUUCUGGUCCAUUCACAACACAGCUGUGCUUACCCACCAUCACUUUCUUCUUAUCAUUUGAUUUUCCCAUUCUUGUUAAUUCUCCUCGUUUCCAACCUCCAGUUGAUAGACAUGCUUUUCUUCCAGGAUCCAAAUUUCCAUGUUCUUUUAAAUUGACAGUUUUAACCAUACAAGUUUGUUGCCGUGUCCUCCUGUGAGUUUCUCACCAGAAGUCCUACCGACCACUCGACUACCCCACCUGAGCAGUGCCACGCCGCAUUGCUACAGUAAUUCAGGCAAAAUGAGCCCCAACUAAGAAUUGAGUGCUGUACAUGCUCAUACUUUUCAUUUUCGUACUUUUUAGUUGGUCAAGAUUUCUAAAAAUCCUUUCUUUGCAUUGGUCUUAAGUAAUAUUAUAAUGUUCUGAGAUUUCUGAAUU
Paramisgurnus dabryanus is the source of this 3763-nucleotide long non-coding RNA. RefSeq lists it as uncharacterized. Lineage: Eukaryota; Metazoa; Chordata; Actinopteri; Cypriniformes; Cobitidae. The record is from RefSeq and is a predicted model, not a curated record.